Triplophysa dalaica is the source of this 595-nucleotide long non-coding RNA. RefSeq lists it as uncharacterized. The transcript is spliced from 3 exons. The record is from RefSeq and is a predicted model, not a curated record. NCBI's taxonomy places the organism in Eukaryota, Metazoa, Chordata, Actinopteri, Cypriniformes, Nemacheilidae.
GUUGACAUACGAACAACUUUUCUGUUUCACAAAAGGAUCUUUGUAGUGGAAAAAAAAUCACUAGAUUAUGACAAGGUUGUCACUAUGGUGCUGGUCGGGUGACGCCGUUGGGUUAGAGGACAUAUGGCGAACAAACCGCCAGCAAAUAAGAUCACAGCCAGCACAUUAACCCUGAUCACUGGAGCCAUCCUCAUGGAAAGAACGGUCCCUCUCCAACCAUGGAGGGCCUCAUCGGAUUGACCUUUUCACCUUGGCACCGCCUCCUUCUCGACAGAACUUCAGCCCCAUUUCAACACAGAACCAAUGCAUGCUCAACCUCCUGCCAUUCAGUUACUCACUCAACUCUUGCCAGGCAUGACAGAAUGUUGACAAGCCAUGGGGGUCCAACUGCACACUUAGAAACCUGCCCCUACUGGGUACCAGCCAUUCUUUAAACUGGAUGCCAUCACUACACUCACUACAUCAAGAAAUAUAAUUGUGGAAAUGCAUGGCCAACCAACCCCCCACCAGCUAUUACUAGACUGCUUCCCCGACCUCCUGCUGAGACUAUCGACCCUUGUGGAAGAACAUAUAGACCUCAGCGAUAUUAUAAUAG